This 465-nucleotide ribosomal RNA is filed under the name Vreelandella stevensii. Its description in RNAcentral is "partial 16S ribosomal RNA". It matches the Rfam family "Bacterial small subunit ribosomal RNA", at positions 338 to 795 of the family's 1533-position model. The record is from RNAcentral. Lineage: Bacteria; Pseudomonadati; Pseudomonadota; Gammaproteobacteria; Oceanospirillales; Halomonadaceae.
CCUACGGGGGGCUGCAGUGGGGAAUAUUGGACAAUGGGGGCAACCCUGAUCCAGCCAUGCCGCGUGUGUGAAGAAGGCCCUCGGGUUGUAAAGCACUUUCAGUGAGGAAGAACGCCUGGUGGUUAAUACCCAUCAGGAAAGACAUCACUCACAGAAGAAGCACCGGCUAACUCCGUGCCAGCAGCCGCGGUAAUACGGAGGGUGCGAGCGUUAAUCGGAAUUACUGGGCGUAAAGCGCGCGUAGGUGGCUUGAUAAGCCGGUUGUGAAAGCCCCGGGCUCAACCUGGGAACGGCAUCCGGAACUGUCAAGCUAGAGUGCAGGAGAGGAAGGUAGAAUUCCCGGUGUAGCGGUGAAAUGCGUAGAGAUCGGGAGGAAUACCAGUGGCGAAGGCGGCCUUCUGGACUGACACUGACUCUGAGGUGCGAAAGCGUGGGUAGCAAACAGGAUUAGAUACCCGGGUAGUC